RNAcentral lists this ribosomal RNA (482 nucleotides) under uncultured bacterium. RNAcentral's name for it is "partial 16S ribosomal RNA". It matches the Rfam family "Bacterial small subunit ribosomal RNA", at positions 30 to 507 of the family's 1533-position model. The record is from RNAcentral.
AUUGAACGCUGGCGGCAUGCCUUACACAUGCAAGUCGAACGGUAACAGGUCUUCGGAUGCUGACGAGUGGCGAACGGGCGAGUAAUACAUCGGAACGUGCCCGAUUGUGGGGGGUAACGAGGCGAAAGCUUUGCACAUACGCCAUAAGAUCUACGCGUGAAAGCGGGGGAGAUGCGGACCUCACGGGGACUGGGCGGCCGAUGGCAGAUUAGGUAGUUGGUGGGAUAAAAGCUUACCAAGUCGACGAUCCGUAGCUGGUCUGAGAGGAUGAGCAGCCACACUGGAACUGAGACACGGCCCAGACUCCUACGGGAGGCAGCAGUGGGGAAUUUUGGACAAUGGGCGAAAGCCUGAUGCAGCCAUGCCGCGUGCAGGAUGAAGGCCUUCGGGUUGUAAACUACUUUCGGACGGAACGAAAAGCCUCUAUCUAAUAAAUAGGGGUCAUGACGGUACCGUAAGAAGAAGCACCGGCUAACUACGUG